RNAcentral lists this ribosomal RNA (2202 nucleotides) under Escherichia coli. RNAcentral's name for it is "partial 23S ribosomal RNA". It matches the Rfam family "Bacterial large subunit ribosomal RNA", at positions 1 to 2227 of the family's 2925-position model. The record is from RNAcentral. Lineage: Bacteria; Pseudomonadati; Pseudomonadota; Gammaproteobacteria; Enterobacterales; Enterobacteriaceae.
GGUUAAGCGACUAAGCGUACACGGUGGAUGCCCUGGCAGUCAGAGGCGAUGAAGGACGUGCUAAUCUGCGAUAAGCGUCGGUAAGGUGAUAUGAACCGUUAUAACCGGCGAUUUCCGAAUGGGGAAACCCAGUGUGUUUCGACACACUAUCAUUAACUGAAUCCAUAGGUUAAUGAGGCGAACCGGGGGAACUGAAACAUCUAAGUACCCCGAGGAAAAGAAAUCAACCGAGAUUCCCCCAGUAGCGGCGAGCGAACGGGGAGCAGCCCAGAGCCUGAAUCAGUGUGUGUGUUAGUGGAAGCGUCUGGAAAGGCGCGCGAUACAGGGUGACAGCCCCGUACACAAAAAUGCACAUGCUGUGAGCUCGAUGAGUAGGGCGGGACACGUGGUAUCCUGUCUGAAUAUGGGGGGACCAUCCUCCAAGGCUAAAUACUCCUGACUGACCGAUAGUGAACCAGUACCGUGAGGGAAAGGCGAAAAGAACCCCGGCGAGGGGAGUGAAAAAGAACCUGAAACCGUGUACGUACAAGCAGUGGGAGCCUCUUUAUGGGGUGACUGCGUACCUUUUGUAUAAUGGGUCAGCGACUUAUAUUCUGUAGCAAGGUUAACCGAAUAGGGGAGCCGAAGGGAAACCGAGUCUUAACUGGGCGUUAAGUUGCAGGGUAUAGACCCGAAACCCGGUGAUCUAGCCAUGGGCAGGUUGAAGGUUGGGUAACACUAACUGGAGGACCGAACCGACUAAUGUUGAAAAAUUAGCGGAUGACUUGUGGCUGGGGGUGAAAGGCCAAUCAAACCGGGAGAUAGCUGGUUCUCCCCGAAAGCUAUUUAGGUAGCGCCUCGUGAAUUCAUCUCCGGGGGUAGAGCACUGUUUCGGCAAGGGGGUCAUCCCGACUUACCAACCCGAUGCAAACUGCGAAUACCGGAGAAUGUUAUCACGGGAGACACACGGCGGGUGCUAACGUCCGUCGUGAAGAGGGAAACAACCCAGACCGCCAGCUAAGGUCCCAAAGUCAUGGUUAAGUGGGAAACGAUGUGGGAAGGCCCAGACAGCCAGGAUGUUGGCUUAGAAGCAGCCAUCAUUUAAAGAAAGCGUAAUAGCUCACUGGUCGAGUCGGCCUGCGCGGAAGAUGUAACGGGGCUAAACCAUGCACCGAAGCUGCGGCAGCGACGCUUAUGCGUUGUUGGGUAGGGGAGCGUUCUGUAAGCCUGUGAAGGUGUGCUGUGAGGCAUGCUGGAGGUAUCAGAAGUGCGAAUGCUGACAUAAGUAACGAUAAAGCGGGUGAAAAGCCCGCUCGCCGGAAGACCAAGGGUUCCUGUCCAACGUUAAUCGGGGCAGGGUGAGUCGACCCCUAAGGCGAGGCCGAAAGGCGUAGUCGAUGGGAAACAGGUUAAUAUUCCUGUACUUGGUGUUACUGCGAAGGGGGGACGGAGAAGGCUAUGUUGGCCGGGCGACGGUUGUCCCGGUUUAAGCGUGUAGGCUGGUUUUCCAGGCAAAUCCGGAAAAUCAAGGCUGAGGCGUGAUGACGAGGCACUACGGUGCUGAAGCAACAAAUGCCCUGCUUCCAGGAAAAGCCUCUAAGCAUCAGGUAACAUCAAAUCGUACCCCAAACCGACACAGGUGGUCAGGUAGAGAAUACCAAGGCGCUUGAGAGAACUCGGGUGAAGGAACUAGGCAAAAUGGUGCCGUAACUUCGGGAGAAGGCACGCUGAUAUGUAGGUGAAGUCCCUCGCGGAUGGAGCUGAAAUCAGUCGAAGAUACCAGCUGGCUGCAACUGUUUAUUAAAAACACAGCACUGUGCAAACACGAAAGUGGACGUAUACGGUGUGACGCCUGCCCGGUGCCGGAAGGUUAAUUGAUGGGGUUAGCGGUAACGCGAAGCUCUUGAUCGAAGCCCCGGUAAACGGCGGCCGUAACUAUAACGGUCCUAAGGUAGCGAAAUUCCUUGUCGGGUAAGUUCCGACCUGCACGAAUGGCGUAAUGAUGGCCAGGCUGUCUCCACCCGAGACUCAGUGAAAUUGAACUCGCUGUGAAGAUGCAGUGUACCCGCGGCAAGACGGAAAGACCCCGUGAACCUUUACUAUAGCUUGACACUGAACAUUGAGCCUUGAUGUGUAGGAUAGGUGGGAGGCUUUGAAGUGUGGACGCCAGUCUGCAUGGAGCCGACCUUGAAAUACCACCCUUUAAUGUUUGAUGUUCUAACG